RNAcentral lists this ribosomal RNA (325 nucleotides) under uncultured eukaryote. RNAcentral describes it as "partial 18S ribosomal RNA". It matches the Rfam family "Eukaryotic small subunit ribosomal RNA", at positions 1470 to 1796 of the family's 1831-position model. The record is from RNAcentral.
CCCUUAGAUGUCCUGGGCUGCACGCGCGCUACACUGAUGUGUCCAGUAAGCACCUAACCUAUUCCGAGAGGAAUGGGUAACCUUUUGAAAGUGCAUCGUGAUAGGGAUAGACUAUUGCAAUUAUUGGUCUUCAACGAGGAAUUCCUAGUAGACGUAGUUCAUCAGACUGCAUCGAUUACGUCCCUGCCCUUUGUACACACCGCCCGUCGCUCCUACCGAUUGAAUGCUCAGGUGAGCCAUUCGGACUUUCAUCAUGCUGGUUUCCAGUUUUGAUGAAGGAAAGUCUUGCGAACCUUAUCAUUUAGAGGAAGGAGAAGUCGUAACA